This 4227-nucleotide long non-coding RNA is filed under the name Gossypium raimondii (Peruvian cotton). RNAcentral describes it as "long non-coding RNA (GRAI_LNC005287)". Lineage: Eukaryota; Viridiplantae; Streptophyta; Magnoliopsida; Malvales; Malvaceae. The record is from RNAcentral.
CUUGGAUGUCUUCAUGCUCUAUCUCAACUAACGGCAUCUGUAAAAUUUUCUGAACUGUUUUCGCUUGAAAGGUAUAUUAAUCAAAUCCUCCCUCCAUUUCCUAUUUGAAUUAUCAAUGAGAUCUGAAACUAAUUAUAGUUCCCCAUUAUUUGAUCUGCUUUGUCCUUCAACUCUGUCAAUUACCUAUAUCCAACAGUCCUCCCAAAUAGAGAUUUUGUCUCCCCUACCUACUCUCCAGCACAAUCCUUUUUGGAGUAGACUUUUUGCUGCCCAAAUACUCCGCCAGGUGAGUGAAGGUAAAUUCCCCAAUUCUGCCUUAAGAAAACAUGAUCGUGGAUAAUAUUUUGCUUUUAGAACUUUGGCUAAUAAAGAAUUUGGAUUAUUAAUAAGUCGCCAUCCUUUUUUUUCCAGUAAUAAAAUAUUAAAUUGAGCAAGAUUUCUAAAACCCAAGCCACCGUUUUCUUUCAAGGAACAAAGAUUUUUCCAGGUGCACCAAUGGAUUCCCCUUUUCCCAUGUCCUUUCUGCCACCAGAACUUGACUAUGGUACCCUCCAUAUCGUCGCAUAGUGCUUUAGGUAAUAAAAAACAUGCCAUCGUGUAAGUUAGAAUAGCCUGAAGAAUAGCCUUUAUGAAUACUUCUUUCCCUCCCUGCGAUAAUAAUCUAAUGCUCCAAUUAUCAAAACAUUUUUUUAUUUUGUCUUUCAAAUUCCGAAAAGAUUCUUUUUUCCUCUGACCCACCAUUAUAGGCAAUCCUAAACAACGUUCUGGUUCAUUAGAGCUUCGUACCCCCGAAAGAUUGACAACUAAUAUUUUAUCCUCCUCCAUUGUAUUCUUGCUGAAAAAAAAAGUUGAUUUAUCAAAAUUAACACAUUGUCUUGAGCAAGACUUGUAUUCGUAUAGAAUGUUCAUGAAAAGAUUAGCUCUCCUGCUCGUUGCUUCUCCAAACAGAAUGUAAUAGUCUGCAAAUAAUAAAUGGGAUAUCUGCGGGCCAUUUCUACUGAUCCUUACUCCUUUUAGAAGACCCUUGGUUGUUGCUAGUCUCAAUAGGCUUGAUAGCCCUUCUCCACAUAAAAGGAAUAAAAACGGGCUAAGUGGAUCCCCUUGUCUAAGUCCUCUAGCUGGGCAGAAUUUUUCUCCAAUAUUUCCAUUGAUAAUUACUGAAUAAGAGACUGUAGUAACACAAUUCAUGAUAGUAUUUACCCAACUUUGAUCAAACCCCAUUUUUAGCAUUAUCCUGUUUAAGAAAUCCCAUUUCACUCUGUCAUAUGCUUUACUCAUAUCAAGUUUAACAGCCAUAUACCCUUUUUUCCCCAAUCUCUUUUGUUUUAGCUUGUGUAAUAUUUCAUAGGCUAAUAGCACAUUAUCCGAAAUCAAUCGAUCUGGCACCAAAACACUUUGCGCCUCAUCAACACAUUUUCCAAUGACUCCACUUAAUCGAUUUGCUAUAUAGCCUUUGUAAUGAUUUUAUAGAGAACAUUACAUAGGCUAAUUGGCCUGAAUUGUGACAUAUUAAUGGGACUAGGAAUUUUUGGAAUAAGUACUACAUUUGUAGAAUUAAUUGGACUUACCUACCUAACGUCGUUUAAUAUCUGUAAGUAAAAGGUGGUGACAUCAUCCCCAACUAUUUGCGAACACUUCUAAUAAAGAGGGCUGGAAAACCAUCUUCUCCUGGUGCCUUCGUUGGUCCCAUGGCAAAAACUGCUUCCCUAAUUUCAUAUUUGGUAUAUACUGCUGUCAACUUCUGAUUGUCUUCCUCAUAGAUACACCAUUCAACCCCUUUCUAAUAUGUGAUCAUACUUCCCCCUUCCUUCUUUUGAAAACAACCUUUUGAAGUAAGAUCGUGCUACACCUUCCAUAUCUUGCAAGUCCCCCAUCUCUUUUCCAUCUUCAUUUUUUAGCUUACGAAUGAGAUUCUUGUUCCUUCUCUGUGACGCUUGGCCAUGAAAAAAAGAUGUAUUCCUAUCCCCAUAUUUUAUCCAAUCUAUUUGAGCCCUCUGUUCCCAGUAACAUUCUUCUUUUUCAAACUCAAAAUUUAAAUUGAUUUUCGUAUCAAUCAAUUCCUAAAAAGUCUUAUCAUAUCUUUCUUCCUCGGCCAGCUCCAUUAGUUUCCUUAUGAGAACCUGCUUUGUCUUCUUUCUUUCAUUUUAGAUUUUCUCAGCCCACCUUUGUAAUCCUUUUUUCAAAAAAUCCAGUUUUUGUACCAGCUCUCCUAAUGAUUUCUCCCACAAGCUCUUAACUUCAUUAUCAAAAGACUCUUCCAAGGACCACCAAGCUUUAAAUUUAAAAUUAUAGCUCCUUCUUCGUUCUUCAUGCCUCAUCGUGUUAAUAAGAAGUUGACAGUGAUCUGAAAACGAGUGCACUAAAUGCUGAACUCUCACAUCUUGAAACAUAUUAAUCCAUUACGUAUUAGCAACUCAUCUGUCUAAUCUUUCUUGUAUGUUCGUCUCCGGUAAAUUUUCUCUUUCCCAAGUGAACCAGCUGCCUUCAUAAUCCAUAUCGUACAAAUGACAUUCCUCGAGUGUUCUUCGAAACAAUUCCAUUCUCCUCUCAUCUCUAGGCAAUCCUCCUUUCUUUUCAAAACCAUACAUAAUUUCAUUGAAAUCACCAGCAACAAACCAUGGGAAAUCCUUAUUAGUAGCCAGACUUUUCAGAACAGCCCAUGAAUCAUUUCUAUCCUGCACAUAUGAGGAUCUAUAGAGAAACUACUCAACAUUAUAUCAACCUCAUUUCUCCAUGCUAAGCACAAUCCUUCUCUCGUAUCUUCUGGUUCAACUUCAAUGUCGUUCGUAUAACCACAUCUUCCACGAACUCGUUCCAUCUGCUGUCUUCCUAGUUUUGUCUCCAUAAAGAAGACUAUUUAGGGAUUAUGCAACUUCAGCAUCUGCUGAAGUCUUUUAACCAUCCGUAGUCUCCCCAAGCCACGGAUGUUCCAACUUAUUAUUUUCAUUGUGUCCGGUCGGCUUGCCUCUUGGAAGCCGACGAUGAUAAAAGGUUGAAUUCCAUCAUUUUUUCUAUUUCUUGUAUUUGUAUUAUCUCUUUCUGCGUUAAUGAAAAGAUCUUCCAUCUCCCCCCUGUUUCGCUUUUUCCCUUCCUCCCCAACUAAGGUCUCAUCUUCUAAAUCAUGUUCUAUUGCCAUAUUCAUCUGACUCGAUCCAAAUUUUCCCUCUCGCCUUUCUACAGAAUUGGAUCAAUAACCUUUCCCCUUCGUUCUUUUUUAUUUCCAUCCCCAUGUCUUGAUCCUCUGGAUCAAUUUUCCACCCAUCUUCCUUCCCCUUUUCCUUCUUUCUCUUCUCGUAGCCAUAUACUAUUCAUUGAAAGGGCUCUUCGAGAUUGCACUCGCAAUGAUAAAUCCCAGCCCAAUUCAUCUGUAUCUGCCCCUGUCAUCAUUUUUAUCUCGCAGAAGGAAUCGUUAUACCCCAAUCUUCCACAAUAGAAACAAAAAAGCGAUAAUCAUAUUUAAACUUGACAUAUGACCUAACUCCAUUGCAUAAAACCUGCUUCUUCCUUUUCAGAGGCUUCCUAACAUCGAUCUGUACUCUUAACCUCAUAUAAUUACGAUUUUCCUUUCCUAGAUUUGAGGUAUCAUAUUCCAGGAAGACACCUAAAAAAUUACCAAGUUGGAUUACUAAUUUUUCAGAGAAUAAUCCAAUAGGAACAUCAUGAAUUUGGACCCAAAAAGGAAUACAAAUGAGCGGUACUUUUAAUGGAUCUUCGCCUCUUUCCAACUUGUUCAAUAAUAGUAGGUGGUUAUUAAAAGGCAAUGGUAAACCUUUCAGAACCCUUUCCAUAUCCAUAUAAUGAUAAAAUUGAAACAGAUACCUUUUUUCCCCCAAAUCUCUAAUUUUGACCCCAUAAACAGGGUGCCACAAGUUUGCCAUAGUGUUUUUCAUGGCUGGAAAGUGAAUAACACUUGCUGUUAAAAAACAUCCCACAAGCUGGAACUCUCCCUCUUCACUUUGAUUACCCGGAUCUACCUAAAUCUGUAGUAAUUCUUCUUCUUUCUCGUUAAUUGAUAAUUGUGCUAAUUCAUUCUCCAUGACUGCAGGUUUGAUUACCAGAAUAACACAAGCACCACUUUUCCCAGACUUCAGAACAAGAAAAACCAGAAGCGUAUAGAUCAAUUGAUAAAACAAAACAUAGACGAAACAAGAAAAAAAAGACAAAACUCGUGCCAGCGGCGAUAGACCUAAGCGUGCUAUGGCAGCAGACAAUAGUCCUCGAUUUUUU